This 459-nucleotide ribosomal RNA is filed under the name uncultured bacterium. Its description in RNAcentral is "partial 16S ribosomal RNA". It matches the Rfam family "Bacterial small subunit ribosomal RNA", at positions 338 to 795 of the family's 1533-position model. The record is from RNAcentral.
CCUACGGGGUGCAGCAGUGGGGAAUAUUGCACAAUGGGGGAAACCCUGAUGCAGCGACGCCGCGUGAGUGAAGAAGCGUUUCGGCGCGUAAAGCUCUGUCAGCGGGGAAGAAACACGGUUCGCGAGAGCCGCGGACGGUACCCGACCAAGAAGCCCCGGCUAACUACGUGCCAGCAGCCGCGGUAAUACGUAGGGGGCAAGCGUUAUCCGGAUUUAUUGGGUUUAAAGGGUGCGUAGGCUGUGAGGUAAGUCAGCGGUGAAAUGCCCCCGCUCAACGGGGUGAAGUGCCAUUGAUACUGCCUUGCUGGAAUGCGGAUGCCGUGGGAGGAAUGUGUGGUGUAGCGGUGAAAUGCAUAGAUAUCACACAGAACACCGAUUGCGAAGGCAUCUCACGAAUCCGCGAUUGACGCUGAUGCACGAAAGCGUGGGUAUCAAACAGGAUUAGAUACCCGUGUAGUC